This 468-nucleotide ribosomal RNA is filed under the name uncultured bacterium. Its description in RNAcentral is "partial 16S ribosomal RNA". It matches the Rfam family "Bacterial small subunit ribosomal RNA", at positions 28 to 507 of the family's 1533-position model. The record is from RNAcentral.
GACGAACGCUGGCGGCGUGCUUAACACAUGCAAGUCGAACGGUGAAGCUCCAGCUUGCUGGAGUGGAUCAGUGGCGAACGGGUGAGUAACACGUGAGCAACCUGCCCCUGACUCUGGAAUAAGCGCUGGAAACGGCGUCUAAUACUGGAUACGAGAAGGGCCCGCAUGGGCACUUUCUGGAAAGUUUUUCGGUUGGGGAUGGGCUCGCGGCCUAUCAGCUUGUUGGUGAGGUAAUGGCUCACCAAGGCGACGACGGGUAGCCGGCCUGAGAGGGCGACCGGCCACACUGGGACUGAGACACGGCGCAGACUCCUACGGGAGGCAGCAGUGGGGAAUAUUGCACAAUGGGCGAAAGCCUGAUGCAGCGACGCCGCGUGAGGGAUGACGGCCUUCGGGUUGUAAACCUCUUUCAGCAGGGAAGAAGCGAAAGUGACGGUACCUGCAGAAGAAGCACCGGCUAACUACGUG